Molecule: small nucleolar RNA, 79 nt
Filed under: Carlito syrichta (Philippine tarsier)
Lineage: Eukaryota; Metazoa; Chordata; Mammalia; Primates; Tarsiidae
Description: Small nucleolar RNA U2-19 (ENSTSYG00000020268.2)
Rfam family: Small nucleolar RNA U2-19
About the family: U2-19 is a member of the C/D class of snoRNA which contain the C (UGAUGA) and D (CUGA) box motifs.
Source: Rfam by way of RNAcentral
GAUCAGUGAUGAGAAUAGCCAAAUCUGAGCAUCAGAGAACUUUCCAUCUACCUGAUGCAUGAUCUCCACAGUUCUGAGA